This 583-nucleotide ribosomal RNA is filed under the name uncultured fungus. RNAcentral describes it as "eukaryotic LSU rRNA". The stretch from base 229 to 382 matches the Rfam family "5.8S ribosomal RNA". Lineage: Eukaryota; Fungi. The record is from RNAcentral.
UAGAGGAAGUAAAAGUCGUAACAAGGUCUCCGUAGGUGAACCUGCGGAGGGAUCAUUACAGAGUUCAUGCCCUUACGGGUAGAUCUCCCACCCUAUGUUAUUAUUACCUUUGUUGCUUUGGCGGGCCGUCAGGCCUCGGUCAGGCUAUCGGCUCCGGCUGGUAAGCGCCCGCCAGAGGACCCAAAAACUCUGAAUGUUAAUGUCGUCUGAGUACUAUAUAAUAGUUAAAACUUUCAACAACGGAUCUCUUGGUUCUGGCAUCGAUGAAGAACGCAGCGAAAUGCGAUAAGUAAUGUGAAUUGCAGAAUUCAGUGAAUCAUCGAAUCUUUGAACGCACAUUGCGCCCCUUGGUAUUCCGAGGGGCAUGCCUGUUCGAGCGUCAUUGCAACCCUCAAGCAUUGCUUGGUAUUGGGCUCCGCUGCUCACCCAGCGGGCCUUAAAAUCAGUGGCGGUGCCGUCGAGGCCCUGAGCGUAGUAAAUAUCCUCGCUAUAGGGACUCGGUGGACGCUGGCCAUUAACCCCCAACUUUCUAAGUUUGACCUCGGAUCAGGUAGGGAUACCCGCUGAACUUAAGCAUAUCAAU